GUUUGAAGUUGGUGGAGAGGUAGAGUUUCCGUUUCCACCAGGAACUUACAGCCUAUACUUCAGGUUGCAAUUGGGUCGGUCAUCGAAGAGGUUUGGCCGUCGAAUCUAUAACCUCGAGCACGUUCAUGGUUGGAACAUAAAGCCCGUGCAAUUUCAGCUUUGGACUUCAGAUGGUCAGCAUGCCAAAACUCAAUGCUAUUUAGACGAAG
Molecule: unclassified non-coding RNA, 209 nt
Filed under: Hevea brasiliensis (rubber tree)
Lineage: Eukaryota; Viridiplantae; Streptophyta; Magnoliopsida; Malpighiales; Euphorbiaceae
Source: RNAcentral